Tympanuchus pallidicinctus (lesser prairie-chicken) is the source of this 3775-nucleotide long non-coding RNA. RefSeq lists it as uncharacterized. The record is from RefSeq and is a predicted model, not a curated record. Lineage: Eukaryota; Metazoa; Chordata; Aves; Galliformes; Phasianidae. The transcript has 7 exons.
AUUUCUAUUUUAGACAGCCCAAAUCCUCCGAGAACGGAGACAAAAUAGCUCCCGCGAGUCCUUCCACUCAUUCUGAGGGGCUCAGCAAUCACAAACUUCCCCAGGACGUCCUAUCCCGCAUGGAGAACAAAAACAGUCCUUAUCAAGGGCUCUAAAAAGAGCCGGACACGGUGCCGACAAUUUAUGGGGAAAGCCUAGGAUUUUCUGUUUAUUGAAAACACAACAGAAGGGGUGAAAGCAGCUGAUCCGAUCCGCUGUGAGAUUUCAUCAUCCCGUGGCAGCUCGGGGAAGCCAGGCCCGACGCCCCCGGACCGGACCAGGAGGACUUCACCUAUCGGUUGGAGGGGAUGGGUCGAGAGCCGAAAAACAAACAAACAAACAAACAAACAAAAACCCCAAAAAACCCACCACCAUAAGAUGGGGCUCGAUUAAAGAGGCAGCAGAGCCUCUUUGUGCUGUGAGAUGCUACAGGUAAACAUUUCUAUCUGGCAGGAUUGUUUUACCAGUUAAAAUAUAGAAAUAAAAUCAAAGCAUCACCAUCAAACCUGGUUCAGGUCUGUGCCGGCUUCUGUCAAGGCGACGCCUAUGGAAGCUGGGGCUCGCUGCAUCGAGGCAGGAGGUUCUCGAAUAUAUUUUCUUUUUAAAAGGUGUAGGGAAUGGGGGAGGGUGGCAGAGAAUAUUUCUCAGAACACCGGGAGAUACCUUUCUUGAAACAAAGGCAAAGGGGAAUCAUCUCAAUUGCAAAUCCGUCAGGCAGAGAGCAAAUAACAAUAUUUAUAGGAAGGCGUUCGAAAAUACCGUGAGCUUAAAUAACAGCAGCGAACGCUAUCUGCAGUUGCUACAGAGCAGCUUAAUAAAAAAUUAGCCUCACUGACAGUCUUGUCAACAUCUUAAGUAAAUUAUCAUAGCGAUGGUCUUUGGAGAAGAGAACCCACACUCCUCGCUAAAACACCUCCUAUCAUUAAUCUUAAACCACUCGAAGAUUAUGAUGGAAAGAAUGGGAUCAGUAACCAUUAUCAUCUCCAAUUGCUGUUAAAAACUCCGCUGUUUAUUUUUGCAACCAAAGCAAAUGUAACUAGGAAAUGCAGAAAAGGGAAGAAAGGCAAACACUGAGAGGCAGAACAAUUGAGGCGAAUCCUGUUGCAAUCUCGAUGAUAAACACAUGGAAAAGGCUGUGACUGCUCUGCGGAUUGCUGGAAUUUGGGGAGACAUUAAGAAAAUAAACACACCGAUGGCUCCGCACCAGCGGUACAUGCAGUGAAAGGAUUUGGCGGCAGAGAAGGCAGAAUCUGCUGCUUUAGGGGCACUGGACCUGAAAAGCUAUCGACGGUGCUUUACACCUUCAAUGACUCCGCAAAUCGAUGUGAGCCGGGCACACGCCUGAAUCCAAUCAGACUCGGGUUUUUUGAAGGUAUUCCUCGAAAUGCCAAAGUUUACACGAAGCCUUUAAGCAGAGCUGUGCACCCCGGCCGGCCCUCCUCCUUCCCUCCUCCCUGGCAAUAAAAAGAAGAGGCGGCAUCAGGACAGGGCGACGAGAGCUAAAAUCAACCCCACCAUUAUUUUCUCCCGACAGAACCUCAUCUUCCGCGGCGCUUCAUUCCAGCAUCCCCGCUCGGGGCUGCCGCUCCCCUCCGCAGAGCACUGCGCGAGCACUGCGCGGUGCGCAGGUAGCGCGGCGGGAGCCGCAGCCGGAGCGGCGCUGCCCGCUCAGCCUCCGCCGUGGCCCCGCAGUGACCCCGGCCCGAGGCUGCGGGAGGUGAGAGGUGACGCCUCGAGCCGGCGCAGACCUGGCCCUUUUAAAGCCACAGCUAAUCAGUCCUUCAGUAAAUUAAAAUCUAGGAACCGGAGGGGAAGCAAUUUCGUUGUAAAGAAUUACGGGGCGCGCACCGGGAACGAAAGAGCACCGAGGGGAUUACGCUGCUGUCCGCGGCGGAGGGGUUUGUGGCAGGGGAGAGGCUGCGCUGAGAUGGCCUGAGAAAAACCGUGCGCGUCCUACAGCCGCGGCGGGUCCGCACGGUGCGGAGUCCAACGCGCCCGGCCCAAUAACACUCUGUCUCGGGUAGUUGGGAAACUUCAGCCCCAUAAACUGCAAGGCGGGAUGGGGUCCCGGGACGCCGGGCUGCCACCCAGCCAAAGGCUCGGCGCUGCGUUGCAGCACGGGGAGAAAGUAAAGUGGAACAAAUGAUCAAUUUUCCCGUCAAUUAAUUUGUCCUCAGUUUCAAGUUUCUCUUUAAUCUCUCUAAGAAAUAAAGGGAUCGCUGCUGAACGGUGCGUACGUGAGUGCUGGUGCGUCCGUGUGCACGUACACGAGCGGGGAGCGAGCAAACCGGGUAGCCCUCAGACUGCUGGGAAUGGGUAGAGGUCAAUUGCUCCUCUUCAAUUAGGAAAGUUCCCCAUUGUCUUGGCACCCCGUACUUGUUAAUAACUGCGCAGAGUUAGGAGAAGAGGAAUAAAUAUCUGCUGCGAGUAAUCUGCUGUAAUGCAAUUAUUUUACUGGAUUAACGUGCAGUGGCAGUGCAACACGGCCACGAGUGAGAUGCAAAGGGAAAAAUAAAAAAUAAAGCCUGAGGGAGGAAUAUUAGUAUUUCGCGACAUAGAUGCUUCAGUGGAUUGUGGUGAGGAGCACCGAGGUCUGAUAACAGCUCUCUGUUCUACCCAGAUUACACAGAAACUUUUCUUUCCCAUGAGCUCCGGGCAGCAAAACGCUGUUUGAGGAGACCGCGAGCCGCUUUCCGGGCUGCCGCUAUAAUUAAUUUAGGUGUGGCCAUCCCAGAUCCGAGGGAGAAGGAAAUGAUUGAUGCCGCCAGAACCCCCUUCCCUUACGCAGCCCCGAGCAGCUCCCGACGCAGAGGACCAACUGCCUUUCAAGGCUGCAGAAUGUUAAGAGCUGUAGCAGAGUUACACAGCUAGUUGAAUCAACAACUUUCUUUUACGGAUGCAGCAGUGCAAACAAGGGCAGGGACUCAGGGAGACUUUGCAGACAUUAUGUUGUAUAGCCCAAUGGAUCAAACAAACAUUGAUCCAGGUACCUCUGGACAAGAUCGAGCACACAUGACAAAUGCUUCUGACUUCUUUUUAAAUCGAACCUGGAAGGUCAUCGCUGAACAAACAGAAUGCUCUACAACUGUGCCCAUAAAUUGUGAAAGCUAACAAUAAGGGCCAUCAUGCUUCAUGUCAGAAUUUAGCAUGAGUUGAUGGAAUGAAGAAUACUUUUGGAAGCCACUCUGCUUUGCAACAAUCUGGUACAGAACAACAUCUGAACCUGCUCAUUUAUCCUAUCUUUAUUUAUAGAGCAAAUCAUUAGAAGGCCACAGCCUUUCUAGCUCUGUUAUUAUCUAUUCAUCAGAAGCCCUUCUUCUGCUCAUUAGCUACAGAUAUUAGUAUCAUUUUACCUUUUUGUGAAAUGCAUUUAACAUCUUUAUAUGUAACUCUUCACAUAGGAUAAUGGCUUUUUGUUUGCAAGUUAUUCUGAGGCUUAAUGAAUAAAGGAACUGAUAAAAGCUUAUUGCUGUAACCUAUUUCAAUUCUAUGUAAAAACACAAAAUAAGAUGUCUCAUGUAAAUCUGAACUUUUGAAAAUUUAUAAUGGUGGGGGAAAAAAAAGACAGUUAAAGAACAACAUACUUAACCAAGAAGAUUUGCUUGAGACUAAUGUUCGAAAACAUGCACCCAGAUGAUCAAACAUCACAGCUACAGCUGACAUUGGAGUGCUACUGGCAAUUCCAUUGUGGACUAACAGAUUUCACUUGUUGAUGGCAAUACUGUCCUAAAAAGCU